CGUGUAGGCGGUUUCUUAAGUCGAAUGUGAAAGCCCCGGGCUCAACCCGGGAAGUGCAUUGGAUACUGGGAGACUUGAAUACGGGAGAGGGUAGUGGAAUUCCUAGUGUAGGAGUGAAGUCCGUAGAUAUUAGGAGGAACACCGGUGGCGAAGGCGGCUACCUGGACCGAUAUUGACGCUGAGACGCGAAAGCGUGGGGAGCAAACAGGGAUUAGAUACCCUGGUAGUCCACGCCGUAAACGAUGAGAACUAGGUGUUGCGGGUAUUGACCCCUGCAGUGCCGCAGCUAACGCAUUAAGUUCUCCGCCUGGGAAGUACGGUCGCAAGACUAAA
Molecule: ribosomal RNA, 333 nt
Filed under: uncultured bacterium
Lineage: Bacteria
Description: bacterial SSU rRNA
Rfam family: Bacterial small subunit ribosomal RNA
Source: RNAcentral